CCUACGGGUGGCUGCAGUCGAGAAUCAUUCUCAAUGGGGGAUACCCUGAUGCUGCGACGUCGCGUGAGGGAAUGAAGGUCUUUGGAUUGUAAACCUCUUUCAUGUGGGAGCAAAGUAAAGUGUUAGUACCACAUUAGGUAUACACUGCUAACUCUGUUUCAGUAGCUGCGGUAAUACAGAGGUCUUAAUCGUGGUUCGGAAUGACUUGUCGUGAAGCGUUCGUAUGCUGGUUCGUGAGUCGUGGGUGUAAGGCGCGGGCUCAACCCGAGGACGGCAACUGAUACUGUGAGACUAGAGUAAGGGAGGGGGAAGCGGAAUUCGCGGUGUAGCAGUGAAAUGCGUAGAUAUCGAGAAGAACGCUCGUGGCGAAGGCAGGUUACUAGACAUCAACUGACGCUGAGGCACGAAGGCCAGGGGAGCGAAAGGGAUUAGAUACCCUGGUAGUC
RNAcentral lists this ribosomal RNA (446 nucleotides) under uncultured bacterium. RNAcentral describes it as "partial 16S ribosomal RNA". It matches the Rfam family "Bacterial small subunit ribosomal RNA", at positions 338 to 795 of the family's 1533-position model. The record is from RNAcentral.